Molecule: ribosomal RNA, 497 nt
Filed under: uncultured bacterium
Lineage: Bacteria
Description: partial 16S ribosomal RNA
Rfam family: Bacterial small subunit ribosomal RNA
Source: RNAcentral
GAUGAACGCUGGCGGCGUGCCUAAUACAUGCAAGUCGAGCGAACAGACUAGGAGCUUGCUCCUCUGACGUUAGCGGCGGACGGGUGAUUAACACAUGGAUAACCUACCUAUAAGACUGGGAUAACUUCGGGAAACCGGAGCUAAUACCGGAUAAUAUAUUGAACCGCAUGGUUCAAUAGUGAAAGACGGUUUUGCUGUCACUUAUAGAUGGAUCCGCGCCGCAUUAGCUAGUUGGUAAGGUAACGGCUUACCAAGGCAACGAUGCGUAGCCGACCUGAGAGGGUGCUCGGCCCCACUGGAACUGAGAAAAGGUCCAGACUACUACGGGAGGCAGCAGCCGGGAAUCUUCAGCAAUGCGCGCAAGCCUGACGGAGCACCGCCGCGUGAGUGAUGAAGGUCUUCGGCUCGUAAAACUCUGUUAUUAGGGAAGAACAAAUGUGUAAGUAACUAUGCACGUCUUGACGGUCCCUAAUCAGAAAGCUACGGCUACCUACGUG